AACGAACGCUGGCGGCAGGCCUAACACAUGCCAGUCGAGCGAGACCUUCGGGUCUAGCGGCGGACGGGUGAGUAACGCGUGGGAACGUGCCCUUUUCUACGGAAUAGCCUCGGGAAACUGAGCGUAAUACCGUAUACGCCCUUUGGGGGAAAGAUUUAUCGGAGAAGGAUCGGCCCGCGUUGGAUUAGGUAGUUGGUGGGGUAAUGGCCUACCAAGCCUACGAUCCAUAGCUGGUUUGAGAGGAUGAUCAGCCACACUGGGACUGAGACACGGCCCAGACUCCUACGGGAGGCAGCAGUGGGGAAUCUUAGACAAUGGGGGCAACCCUGAUCUAGCCAUGCCGCGUGAGUGAUGAAGGCCUUAGGGUUGUAAAGCUCUUUCAGCUGGGAAGAUAAUGACGGUACCAGCAGAAGAAGCCCCGGCUAACUCCGUG
RNAcentral lists this ribosomal RNA (433 nucleotides) under uncultured bacterium. RNAcentral describes it as "partial 16S ribosomal RNA". It matches the Rfam family "Bacterial small subunit ribosomal RNA", at positions 29 to 507 of the family's 1533-position model. The record is from RNAcentral.